GGGGUAGUCCAGUGCUAAAUUGUCGCAGCCUUGAAAAUAUUCUGCUUCGUUAUUUCGGGCACUCCACAGAUUCUGUUGCGAAGGCAGCCAUCUUUAGUUCGUCUUUCCUAGAGAGUAGUGUGUGAGCUGCAAAGUUGCUUUACAUCUUUGCCAGCAGCUGAUAAGGGUGGGCCAUAAACCCAAUUUGUGUCCCUUGGGCUGGUGAUUCUGCUGGAAAUCCUGAUCAGCUGCUUAGCUUUUCAGCCGCAACUUUGUUAGAGGAUACACUCACCAGCAGUUUUGCCACGAGAGUACACCGAACAAAGGAGACAGGGUCAUUUAUAACCUGAUGCGUCCACCCUACUGCUGUGUCCGGUUUCCAUUGGCUGGAAUGGGACCUCACAUUCUGUAUUUGUCCUGAUUGGCUAGCAACUUAGAACUUUUUAAAAGAGGCAAAAGCAGAGGAAAACAAAGGAAGGAGGAAGUAACUUGUGGAAUGCUGAGAAAGCGUUGAGAAGAUUCUGCUCCAUUUUUUCUGAUUAUGGAUUCUGUUCAGAAGGAAGCCGAAUUUUAAGUCAUCGUUCUAGGAUAGGUAAUAUAUCUUUAUUUCUCAGAAGUUUUCAGUUGGUAUGCAUUUGUUCACUUCACUGAUUUUUUUUUUUGUAUUUCAUAUAGAUAUCUAAUAUGUAGGUUAAUAAUAAAAUAGUUUUAAAAGUCCAAUGCCUAUAUGGUCAAUCUAAAUAUUUCAUUUCUGUAAAUAAAAAUAUAAUUUACUUGAUUGACAGCAACAGCAAAAGCAAAAGAAAAUCAUGGGAUAAAUGUCUAAUUUUUAUUAAAAUGUAUACAUAUCUACGAAUUAUAUCCAAAAUAAUAUAAUUUAAACACAUUCCCAAGAAAAAUAUAAAAAUCGUUUUUAUAAUUGCUCAUUUGUUGUUAAUGUUGGCAUGCAUGAGAAAAUGUGUGAGAAGAAAUUAAAACUAUAAAGAAUAA
Molecule: long non-coding RNA, 969 nt
Filed under: Homo sapiens (human)
Lineage: Eukaryota; Metazoa; Chordata; Mammalia; Primates; Hominidae
Description: novel transcript
Source: RNAcentral